RNAcentral lists this ribosomal RNA (429 nucleotides) under Bacillota bacterium. RNAcentral describes it as "Firmicutes bacterium partial 16S ribosomal RNA". It matches the Rfam family "Bacterial small subunit ribosomal RNA", at positions 355 to 776 of the family's 1533-position model. The record is from RNAcentral. Lineage: Bacteria; Bacillati; Bacillota.
UAGGGAAUCUUCGGCAAUGGACGGAAGUCUGACCGAGCAACGCCGCGUGAGUGAAGAAGGUUUUCGGAUCGUAAAGCCCUGUUGUUAGAGAAGAACGUUGGUAGGAGUGGAAAAUCUACCAAGUGACGGUAACUAACCAGAAAGGGACGGCUAACUACGUGCCAGCAGCCGCGGUGAUACGUAGGUCCCGGGCGUUGUCCGGAUUUAUUGGGCGUAAAGCGAGCGCAGGCGGUUCUUUAAGUCUGAAGUUAAAGGCAGUGGCUUAACCAUUGUACGCUUUGGAAACUGGAGGACUUGAGUGCAGAAGGGGAGGGUGGAAUUCCAUGUGUAGCGAUGAAUUGCGUAGGUAUAUGGAGGUACACCGGUGGCGAAAGCGGCUCUCUGGUCUGUAUCUGACGCUGAGGCUCGAAAGCGUGGGGAGCAAACACG